UUGACUAAAAGGAGGCCUAGAACCAGAUGAACUACUUGCACCUCUGAAUUUCUUGCUCUCCGGCUGAUGUGUACUGGGUGCACUCUGAGUCUGGUCUCUUCUCUGCUGAGACCGCUGGCGUCUAGAACGCUGAUUGGCCUGUAUUCGCUCUAUCUCUUGAGCUGCCUCUACCAAGGCUGAGAAUUCUCUGAAUCUGGAAGCUACCACUCCCAUCUGAAUCUCAUCAUUCAGGCCUUC
RNAcentral lists this long non-coding RNA (237 nucleotides) under Jatropha curcas. Its description in RNAcentral is "long non-coding RNA (JCUR_LNC001791)". The record is from RNAcentral. Lineage: Eukaryota; Viridiplantae; Streptophyta; Magnoliopsida; Malpighiales; Euphorbiaceae.